This 152-nucleotide unclassified non-coding RNA is filed under the name uncultured fungus. RNAcentral's name for it is "sequence contains ITS1, 5.8S rRNA gene". Lineage: Eukaryota; Fungi. The record is from RNAcentral.
GUGAAUUUUAGCCGGCUGCCUCUGAAAAGAGAAGGUCUGGUUCCACUAUUUUUACACACUUGUGCACUUGUCUUUUUACAAAUUCAUUUUUGUAUUCAACCCUUUUGCAUUUGAAAAAGUUGUUGAACAAACCAAGUUGAUAAACGAAAGAA